GAAGGAUUUUACUCAUCCUGUUCGUUGUGGCGUUAGUGGUCUGUGCCGGUGCAUUUGUGUUCCUAAAUAGAAAGAAGUGUCUGAGCAGACUGUCAAAGAGGAGCUGCUGAUGAAUGAGACACGAGAAACUACGACCACACACAUUCAUGAGACUGAUGCAACUUUAGUCACGAGAGAGCAGUGAGGUCAGACAAGAAGCCACUCCUGAGAGGAAUCAACAAUAACCUGGUGUUGUCUUCAGCAGCAGGAAGACUCAAAUUUGAUGAAAUUGCUGCUGUGACUGCAGCUACUGCUUAAAAAGGGAAAAUAAUCCCAGUCACAGUGUUAUUAAACUAUUAUAUGAUUCUGUUAAAAGUUUAUUUUCUCCCAAAGAUUUACUUUUUCACUUUACGUAUAUUUAUUUUUGCAGAGGUAAUUCAAUAUGUUUAAAUGGUGUGGGUGGUUUUAGUUGCGUGCAGUGGUAGUAUUUCAGAUUCUGACAUACAGGGGUUGGACAAUGAAACU
Long non-coding RNA from Archocentrus centrarchus (flier cichlid), 504 nucleotides. RefSeq lists it as uncharacterized. NCBI's taxonomy places the organism in Eukaryota, Metazoa, Chordata, Actinopteri, Cichliformes, Cichlidae. The record is from RefSeq and is a predicted model, not a curated record. The transcript has 3 exons.